Molecule: ribosomal RNA, 1343 nt
Filed under: uncultured bacterium
Lineage: Bacteria
Description: 16S ribosomal RNA
Rfam family: Bacterial small subunit ribosomal RNA
Source: RNAcentral
GACGAACGCUGGCGGCGUGCUUAACACAUGCAAGUCGAACGGAAAGGCCCUGCUUUUGUGGGGUGCUCGAGUGGCGAACGGGUGAGUAACACGUGAGUAACCUGCCCUUGACUUUGGGAUAACUUCAGGAAACUGGGGCUAAUACCGGAUAGGAGCUCCUGCUGCAUGGUGGGGGUUGGAAAGUUUCGGCGGUUGGGGAUGGACUCGCGGCUUAUCAGCUUGUUGGUGGGGUAGUGGCUUACCAAGGCUUUGACGGGUAGCCGGCCUGAGAGGGUGACCGGCCACAUUGGGACUGAGAUACGGCCCAGACUCCUACGGGAGGCAGCAGUGGGGAAUAUUGCACAAUGGGCGGAAGCCUGAUGCAGCAACGCCGCGUGCGGGAUGACGGCCUUCGGGUUGUAAACCGCUUUCGCCUGUGACGAAGCGUGAGUGACGGUAAUGGGUAAAGAAGCACCGGCUAACUACGUGCCAGCAGCCGCGGUGAUACGUAGGGUGCGAGCGUUGUCCGGAUUUAUUGGGCGUAAAGGGCUCGUAGGUGGUUGAUCGCGUCGGAAGUGUAAUCUUGGGGCUUAACCCUGAGCGUGCUUUCGAUACGGGUUGACUUGAGGAAGGUAGGGGAGAAUGGAAUUCCUGGUGGAGCGGUGGAAUGCGCAGAUAUCAGGAGGAACACCAGUGGCGAAGGCGGUUCUCUGGGCCUUUCCUGACGCUGAGGAGCGAAUGCGUGGGGAGCGAACAGGCUUAGAUACCCUGGUAGUCCACGCUGUAAACGGUGGGUACUAGGUGUGGGGUCCAUUCCACGGGUUCCGUGCCGUAGCUAACGCUUUAAGUACCCCGCCUGGGGAGUACGGCCGCAAGGCUAAAACUCAAAGGAAUUGACGGGGCCCCGCACAAGCGGCGGAGCAUGCGGAUUAAUUCGAUGCAACGCGUAGAACCUUACCUGGGUUUGACAUGGAUCGGGAGUGCUCAGAGAUGGGUGUGCCUCUUUUGGGGUCGGUUCACAGGUGGUGCAUGGCUGUCGUCAGCUCGUGUCGUGAGAUGUUGGGUUAAGUCCCGCAACGAGCGCAACCCUUGUUCACUGUUGCCAGCACGUUAUGGUGGGGACUCAGUGGAGACCGCCGGGGUCAACUCGGAGGAAGGUGGGGAUGACGUCAAGUCAUCAUGCCCCUUAUGUCCAGGGCUUCACGCAUGCUACAAUGGCUGGUACAGAGAGUGGCGAGCCUGUGAGGGUGAGCGAAUCUCGGAAAGCCGGUCUCAGUUCAGAUUGGGGUCUGCAACUCGACCUCAUGAAGUCGGAGUCGCUAGUAAUCGCAGAUCAGCAACGCUGCGGUGAAUACGUUCCCGGG